Phrynosoma platyrhinos (Desert horned lizard) is the source of this 72-nucleotide non-coding RNA. The record is from the annotation of a GenBank genome assembly. NCBI's taxonomy places the organism in Eukaryota, Metazoa, Chordata, Lepidosauria, Squamata, Phrynosomatidae.
GCCAGUGUGGUGUAGUGGUUUGAGCGCUGGACCACAACUCUAGAGGCCAGGGUUCAAAUCCCCACUCAGCCA